RNAcentral lists this ribosomal RNA (449 nucleotides) under uncultured prokaryote. Its description in RNAcentral is "bacterial SSU rRNA". It matches the Rfam family "Bacterial small subunit ribosomal RNA", at positions 355 to 796 of the family's 1533-position model. The record is from RNAcentral.
UGGGGAAUAUUGCACAAUGGGGGAAACCCUGAUGCAGCCAUGCCGCGUGUGUGAAGAAGGCCUUCGGGUUGUAAAGCACUUUCAGUUGUGAGGAAAGGGUUGCGGUUAAUACCCGUUAUCUGUGACGUUAGCAACAGAAGAAGCACCGGCUAACUCCGUGCCAGCAGCCGCGGUAAUACGGAGGGUGCGAGCGUUAAUCGGAAUUACUGGGCGUAAAGCGCACGCAGGCGGUUUGUUAAGCUAGAUGUGAAAGCCCCGGGCUCAACCUGGGAUGGUCAUUUAGAACUGGCAAACUAGAGUUUUGGAGAGGGGAGUGGAAUUCCAUGUGUAGCGGUGAAAUGCGUAGAUAUGUGGAGGAACAUCAGUGGCGAAGGCGACUCUCUGGCCAAAGACUGACGCUCAUGUGCGAAAGUGUGGGUAGCGAACAGGAUUAGAUACCCCCGUAGUCC